Molecule: ribosomal RNA, 497 nt
Filed under: uncultured bacterium
Lineage: Bacteria
Description: partial 16S ribosomal RNA
Rfam family: Bacterial small subunit ribosomal RNA
Source: RNAcentral
GAUGAACGCUGGCGGCGUGCCUAAUACAUGCAAGUCGAGCGAACAGACGAGGAGCUUGCUCCUCUGACGUUAGCGGCGGACGGGUGAGUAACACGUGGAUAACCUACCUAUAAGACUGGGAUAACUUCGGGAAACCGGAGCUAAUACCGGAUAAUAUAUUGAACCGCAUGGUUCAAUAGUGAAAAACGGUUUUGCUGUCACUUAUAGAUGGAUCCGCGCCGCAUUAGCUAGUUGGUAAGGUAACGGCUUACCAAGGCGACGAUGCGUAGCCGACCUGAGAGGGUGAUCGGCCACACUGGAACUGAGACACGGUCCAGACUCCUACGGGAGGCAGCAGUAGGGAAUCUUCCGCAAAGGGCGAAAGCCUGACGGAGCAACGCCGCGUGAGUGAUGAAGGUCUUCGGAUCGUAAAACUCUGUUAUUAGGGAAGAACAAAUGUGUAAGUAACUAUGCACGUCUUGACGGUACCUAAUCAGAAAGCCACGGCUAACUACGUG